Non-coding RNA from Rattus norvegicus (Norway rat), 5766 nucleotides. Lineage: Eukaryota; Metazoa; Chordata; Mammalia; Rodentia; Muridae. The record is from RefSeq and is a predicted model, not a curated record.
GCACAUACGAAGAAGAGAGAUCACAUUGAUUUGCCCUGCAGUUGGAGAGUCUCCUCCAGGAUCCUGACCCUCAAAUCAGAGACUUCUGUUAGGGAGAGAAUGGACCUGACCUUCUACUAAGAUGUGUCGCACAGAACUCUCAACUUCUCCAGCACCGAGUCUGCCUGCCUACUGCCGAGAUCUCCGCUAUGACAGGAGUGGACUGAACCUCUGAAACUAGGACAUUGGAAACCUCUUCAGCUUUUCCACAUGGACCUCAAACCAGUGACUUCCCAGGGAGAUUUCAGGCCUCCAGGGUUGGACCAGAACUGUAGAAGCUUUCAGCUUCGCACACCGCGAAGCUACUGUGUUCUCUGCCUCUCUAGCACACGGAUGACCAUCAUGAAGGUGUGCUGCAUCGUCGGGGACAUCAAUAGGAAGAUUCAAAAGGACGAAGCUUGCUCACCUGGACUCCAUAAAGUUUGAGGCAGGGUCUUUGCACGGCGCCGGCAGUAGUUCCCAACGACCUGUCAUCUGAUCGUCCGCUGCAACAUUCGCCACACUCGGGCCUGGGUUUGCCAUGCUAGAGCCUGACAGAGCCCCUUCAGUUGUUCAACUGGCUCUUCUAUGGGGGCACAGCUCAGUGGCAGUGCGUGUGCCCUCCACACACAGAACGCUCAGUGUGAACCCCACCACUGCAAAUAUCUCUUUAAGAUCUUGCUUUUGAUGCUGUACACAUCCUUAGACGUGAGAUUGUCGAAUUGUAUGAUAGUUAAAAUUUUGCUUUGAGGGGUUGGGGAUUUGGCUCAGUGGUAGAGCGCUUGCCUAGCAAGCGCAAGGCCCUGGGUUCGGUCCCCAGCUCAAAAAAAAAUUUUUUUUUUCUUUGAGCAAUCACUACCCGGUUGCCAUUUGGUAGUUUUAUUAAUUUCUCCCUUCAGGCUCCAGGAAGAUCUUCUUUGUUUGUCUAUUUGUGCUGAUAUAACAAAAUGCCGGAGAUAAUGUAAUUAGAAAUAGACAGACAGAAGUUUGGGACAGAUGGCCCAGUGGUUAGGUGUACUUACUACUUCUGUAGAGGACCCAGCUUCAGUUCCCAGACCCCUAAUGAUGCUCCUAACCAUCUGUAAUUCUAAUUCUAGGAUAUCCAACACCGUCUUCUGGCCCCUUUCAGACACAGGCACACUCGUGGUUGUGCACACAUAGUGUGGGCAAACACUGAUGAAGUGGAAAUUUCUGGUUUCUUUGGAAACUCAGUUCUGACUCCCCCUCACACAGACACACAUAGAGGCAAAAGACCGAUGCACAUUAAAUAAAACUACGUUAUAUAGAAAAGAAAAUACACAAAAUAAGAGCACUUAAGAUUUGCGAGAUGGGGGCUGGAGAGGUGACUAAGAGGUUAAGAGCACUGGCUGCUCUUCCAAGGGUCUCAAUUCCCAGCAACCACAUGGUGGCUCAUAACCAUCUAUAAUGAGAUCUGGUGCCCUCUUCUGGCCUGCAGGCAUACAUGCAGGCGAAAAGCUGUAUAUAUAAUAAAUAAACCAAUCUUUUAAAAAAAAUUGUGAGAUACAAAGGAUUCAGUAUCUCUAUACAUGAUACUUCAGAACGUUUCUGGAGAACUAAGGAAUAUCAUGAUACUAGCUGCUUGCUUCUAGCCACAUAGCAGCUGAGCGGUGAGAAUUUUAGGUGUCAUGUGCUUUCUGUCCUAUUGUCUGAAUAUGAUUGGGCACAUAUAUACACAUAUAAGAAGCACACAUCCUUUGCCUUCCUACUCCUUUAUCAUGUAACAUGAUCUCAGGUGGGUUGAUAUCAGUACUAACUCAGCUGGUCUAGGGUUAGCCAGCUGCCCUGUCUCAUACUUGUGAUCUCAAGUGCUCGAGACUGUAAGAGAAAUGAACAGGCAAGGCCUGGUGGCACGUGCCUGCGAUCUGAGGGGCAAAAGGUUUAAGGCUAACCUGAGCUACGGAAGGAGCCCUGUCUCAGAAACAGCCACAGGCUGGGUAGUGUGGCACAGAGGUUAGAGGAUCUUCAGUUCCGACCAGCCUACACAGUGAGUCUGAACACAGCUGCCUUACAGAGGGAAGCCUUGACUGGGCCGGGGCAUGCUGUAAGUCCUGGGCAGCAUCGUGAGGUCUUAUCUCAUAUGUGAAGGAGCCCAGCAUAGUGCACAUGCCUUGGAUCCAGCAUUCAGGGCCCAGAGGUAGGCAGAUCUCUGAGGUCCAGGUCAACCAUGGACCCAUAGUGAGACCUCAUCAUAAAUAAAAACAAACAAAAAAUCACACAAAUAAAUAAGUCAGAUAUGGGUAUGGCCCAGGAGGGGAAGGCAAGAGGAAGACCACAAGGCUAAGGCCAGCCUGGGCAGCAUGAGACCCUGUCUUAAAAAAACAAAAAACCCCAACAACAACAACAACAAAUAAAUAAAUGAAAAACAUCAAACUGGGAAAAUUUGCAUGUGUACAUUUUGUCACAGUUUUUUUUUCUUUUUCUUUUUUCUUUUUUUCGGAGCUGGGGACCGAACCCAGGACCUUGCACUUGCUAGGCAAGUGCUCUACCACUGAGCUAAAUCCCCAACCCCUUGUCACAGUUUUUUUGAAAUGCUACUUAGUACAAAAGAAAAGGCAGGAGUCCUAUCUCAACAAAACAAAAAGAAGGCUGCAUCUGGCAGAAAAUUAAAUAAAUCAAAAGGAGGAGGAGGAGGAGGAGAGGGGAGGAGAGGGGAGGAGGAGGAGGAAAAGAGGAAGAGGAGAGGGGAGGAGGAGGAAGAGGAGGAGGAGAGGAAGAGGAGAGGAAGAAGAAGAGGAAGAAGAAGAAGAAGAAGGAGAAGGAGAAGGAGAAGGAGAAGGAGAAGAAGAAGAAGAAGAAGAAGAAGAAGAAGAAGAAGAAGAAGAAGAAGAAGAAGAAGAAGAAGAAAGAAGAAGAAAGAAGAAGAGAAAAGAAGCCAGGUACAGUAGUCACAUCUAUAAUCCCAGUACUUGGGAGAAAGAAAUCUCUGUAGUUCCAGGGUAGCCUGGUUGACAUAGUGGAUUCCAGGGCAGCCAGAAUUACACAGUAAGACUCAAAGAAACAAAAACAAACCAAUAAACCACACCACACACACACACACACACACACACACACACAAACAAAUCGAUCACACAAAAGAAAAGAAUUGACAGGGGUUGGGGAUUUGAGCGCUUGCCUAGGAAGUGCAAAGUCCUGAGUUCGGUCCCCAGCCCUGGGGAAAAAAAAGAAAAAAAAAGAAAAAGAAAAAGAAAAGAAUUGACACUUUCCUCUGCCUAACAAGGAUUUCUGGACAAGAGCUUCCAGAUUAGAUAGUCUGGUAGACCGUAUGACAUGCUGACUGGGCUGGGUGUGGUAAUCACACCCUUGGGAGUAUUCCCUAAAUGCUUGCUUGCUUGCUCUCUCUCUCUCUCUCUCUCUCUCUCUCUCUCUCUCUCUCUCUCUCUCUCCCUUCCUUCCUUCCUUUCUUUCUUUCCUUUCUUUUUUGAGACAGUGUCUCACUGUGUACCCGUCUGUCCUCAAACUCACUCUACUCACUCUGUAGACCAGGCUGACCUGAGACUCACCAAGAUCCACCUGCCUCUGCCUCCCAAGUCCUGGAACCGAGGGCUCACAACAGGAUGCUAGGGUUUUUUUUUUUUUUUUUUUUUUUUUUUUUUGUUCUUUUUUUCGGAGCUGGGGACCAAACCCAGGGCCUUGCGCUUCCUAGGCAAGCGCUCUACCAGUGAGCUAAAUCCCCAACCCCUGUGUGUUUGUUUUUGUUUUCGAAACAGGAUUUCUCUGUGUAGCCUUGGCUGUCCUAGAAUUCGCUCUGUAGACCAGGUUAACCUCAAACUCAGAUCUGCCUGUCUCUGACUCCUGAGUGUGGGGUUAAAGGCGUGUGCCACCACAGCCUGGCUUCCUUUGUAUUUUUUUUUCUUUUUUUUUUUUCCGGAGCUGGGGACCGAACCCAGGGACUUGCGCUUGCUAGGCAAGCGCUCUACCACUGAGCUAAAUUCCCAACCCCUUCCUUUGUGUUUUUGAGACAGGGUCUUAUGUAGCCUAGACUGGCAUUGAUCUUACUAUAUGGCCGAGAAUGAUCUUAAGCUCCUGAUCUUUCUGCCUCCAUAUCCCAUGAGCUGGGAUUGUAGGCAAAUGCUAUAAACCCUUUGUUCUUUUAUCCACCCGUCCAUUCUUUUCUCCUGUCCCCACUUUUUCCCCCUCCAUUUCUUUUUUUUUGUUUUUUAAGAUUCAUUUAUGUUACAUAUUGUAAUAUGUUACUGUUGAUCUCUUCGAAGAGGGCAUCAAUCCCAUUACAGAAGGUCGUGAGCCACCAUGUGGUUGCUAGGAUUUGAACUCAGGACCUCUGGAAGAGCAGUCAGUGCUCUUAACCGCUGAGCCAUCUCUCCAGCCCUUCCCCUCUAUUUCAUUAGACUGGGUCUCCUGGUGUUGUUAGACCAGUUUCAUGGGCUCCAGUGACCGUCCUGCCCCAGCCUCUUCUUUCCUCACUGACUUUACAGGCAGGCCUUACUGUACAAGACCGCAGGCAAAAAUCUCUCCCAGUGCUAGGUGACUAAUUACAUACUGGUGACCAGAGGACUGGGGAGCUGGCCACCUCCCUCAUAAUCAGCAGCUUGCAAAAUCAAUGACUGAAAUCGCAGGACUCUAAUUACUAGCCAGAAGAAUGAGACCUGAGUCAUGGCUCUGGCCCCAACAGACUGAACUGCUUUGAGCUGAUCACUACCUAGGUCACUUCCAGGACCCUAAACCUCAUUAUCUGCAGGAAACUUUUCUGAAAAAGAACAAAGACAGGCAACCGCUGUGUCGUCCUGCAAGGGUCAAGCUGAGCAGGCUUGCCGGCUACUUGGACAGGACAAGGUCCCUCAGAAAAGGUGUUUGUUACAGAGACUUGAGAAGGGUAGAGCCUGCCUGAAAUGCAGAUGCAGCAAUAGUCCCCUUAAGUCAUUGCCUACUCCCAGCCUCCAGAGUGGGCUCACUUCUCUGUGGUCAUGCCUGCUUAUCUUCCACCCCCCACCCUGUGUGUCUCAUCAGAAUUCCUUUCACCAGAGAUCACCAGGACCCUGAAGCUAAGGAAAUCCAAAGAGAGAGAGCCAGCGACAGCUGAACUCUCAGGCCAGGGUGAUGACUAAGGGCCUCAGCAAGGAAAGCCACACACCCACAACCAGUGUCACAUAGACGGAGGCCAUCCAAGUGAGGCAAACAAGACUGUGUACCAAGCUGUGACAGCAAGGGGCACUCCACUACUUGCCAGAGAGGAGAGUGAGGCAGCCAAGUGGGGAAGCCCCACAGAAAUGAGGAGCUCUACUCUCCCAAUAGCCCAAAGAAACCAUUGAGCUGACUAGAAACCAGGCAUUUAUUUAGGUGAGUGAAUAAGGCUUUCUUAAAACCAGGAACAAACAAUAGGGGAGUAACCAGAUAACGAUCAAGUUCUAGGCAUUUGGAUCUGAUAUACAAAUUCUUGGGCUUCCCAGAAUAUCUCUUGAUAAAACAGCUGGUACCCUGUCUCAAAAAACAAAACAGAGGUAGCACGUGCCUUUAAUCCCAGCAAAGGCAGCAGAUCUUUGCAUUUGAGACCAGCUUAGCCUACAGAGUGAGUUUUAGGACAGCCAGGGCUACACAGAGACACCCUAUCUCAAACAAAACAACAGAACAGAACCCAAUAAGAAACCCAAAACAAGGGCUGGGGAUUUAGCUCAGUGGUAGAGCGCUUACCUAGGAAGCGCAAAGCCCUGGGUUCGGUCCCCAGCUCCGAAAAAAAAAGAACCAAAAAAAAAAAAAGAAACCCAAAACAAA